Molecule: non-coding RNA, 369 nt
Organism: Tachysurus vachellii
Lineage: Eukaryota; Metazoa; Chordata; Actinopteri; Siluriformes; Bagridae
Source: the annotation of a RefSeq genome assembly
AUGGGACUAGACAGAGUUUUGAGUUACUUUACUCUAGUAAUCUUCAUUCAAUAUUCCUGCAGUCAGACACUGAUCGAGUCUGAUCCAGUGAUCAUCAAACCUGAUCAGUCUCAUAAACUGACCUGCACAGCCUCUGGAUUAGACAUUAGUGGCUAUUACAUGGCUUGGAUCAGACAGGCACCUGGAAAAGGGCUGGAAUGGGUUGCAAGCAUCUACAGUAGUUACAUAUAUUACUCCAGUGCUGUUCAGGGCCGCUUCACCAUCUCCAGAGACGACAGUAAGAAGCAGGUGUAUCUGCAGAUGAACAGCAUGAGGACAGAAGACACUGCAGUUUAUUACUGUGCCCGAGGGAGUUACAGCACACAGUGA